CUAAGAAUCUUCCGCAAUGGGGGAAACCCUGACGGAGCGACGCCGCGUGGACGAAGAAGGCCGCAAGGUUGUAAAGUCCUUUUGCAGGCGAAGAAUAAGCAGGGGAGUGGAACGCUCCUGCGAUGACGUUAGUCUGCGAAUAAGCCCCGGCCAAUUACGUGCCAGCAGCCGCGGUAACACGUAUGGGGCGAGCGUUGUUCGGAAUUACUGGGCAUAAAGGGCGUGUAGGCGGUUCGGGAAGCCUGGCGUGAAAGGCACCGGCUCAACCGGUGGAUGGCGCUGGGAACUGUCGGACUGGAGUUCUGGAGGGGGAGCUGGAAUUCCUGGUGUAGGGGUGAAAUCUGUAGAGAUCAGGAAGAACACCGGUGGCGAAGGCGAGCUCCUGGCCAGUGACUGACGCUGAGGCGCGAAAGCGUGGGGAGCAAACAGGAUUAGAUACCCUGGUAGUCCACGCUGUAAACGAUGUGCACUAGGUGUUGGUGCCGUACGGGCAUCGGUGCCGUAGCUAAGGCGUUAAGUGCACCGCCUGGGGAGUAUGCUCGCAAGGGUG
This 550-nucleotide ribosomal RNA is filed under the name uncultured bacterium. RNAcentral's name for it is "bacterial SSU rRNA". It matches the Rfam family "Bacterial small subunit ribosomal RNA", at positions 355 to 896 of the family's 1533-position model. The record is from RNAcentral.